This 448-nucleotide ribosomal RNA is filed under the name uncultured bacterium. RNAcentral's name for it is "SSU rRNA". It matches the Rfam family "Bacterial small subunit ribosomal RNA", at positions 26 to 518 of the family's 1533-position model. The record is from RNAcentral.
AGAGCGAACGCUGGCGGCAGGCUUAACACAUGCAAGUCGAGCGGGCGUAGCAAUACGUCAGCGGCAGACGGGUGAGUAACGCGUGGGAACGUACCUUUUGGUUCGGAACAACCCAGGGAAACUUGGGCUAAAUACCGGAUAAGCCCUUACGGGGAAAGAUUUAUCGCCGAAAGAUCGGCCCGCGUCUGAUUAGCUAGUUGGUGAGGUAAUGGCUCACCAAGGCGACGAUCAGUAGCUGGUCUGAGAGGAUGAUCAGCCACAUUGGGACUGAGACACGGCCCAAACUCCUACGGGAGGCAGCAGUGGGGAAUAUUGGACAAUGGGCGCAAGCCUGAUCCAGCCAUGCCGCGUGAGUGAUGAAGGCCCUAGGGUUGUAAAGCUCUUUUGUGCGGGAAGAUAAUGACGGUACCGCAAGAAUAAGCCCGGCUAACUUCGCGCCAGCAGCCGC